GCCGAAGCGGCCGCCGCUGCCGCUGCAGCAGCAUUCGCUGAGGCCAUUACGGCCGCCACAGCGGCAUUAUUGGUGGAUGCUGCAGCCGCUGCUGCUGCUGC
RNAcentral lists this small RNA (101 nucleotides) under Drosophila guanche. Lineage: Eukaryota; Metazoa; Arthropoda; Insecta; Diptera; Drosophilidae. The record is from RNAcentral.